This 919-nucleotide ribosomal RNA is filed under the name uncultured bacterium. RNAcentral's name for it is "bacterial SSU rRNA". It matches the Rfam family "Bacterial small subunit ribosomal RNA", at positions 580 to 1500 of the family's 1533-position model. The record is from RNAcentral.
UCCAUGCGUCGGUCGUGAAAGGCUCGGGCUCAACCUGGGUUGGUCGGCCGAUACGGUGGAUCUUGAGUCACGUCGGCGCUGGGGGAAUUCCCGGUGUAGCGGUGAAAUGCGUAGAAGUCGGGAGGAACGCCGAUCGCGAAGGCACCUAGCGAGGCGUGUACUGACGCUGAGGGACGAAGGCUGGGGGAGCAAACCGGAUUAGAUACCCGGGUAGUCCCGGCUGUAAACGAUGCGCGCUUGUCGUGCGCCCAAGUGGGUGUGCGGCGAAGGGAAACCGAUAAGCGCGCCGCCUGGGGAGUACGGGCGCAAGCCUGAAACUCAAAGGAAUUGGCGGGGGCCCGCACAAGCGGUGGAGCGCCUGGUUUAAUCCGAUGCUAAGCGGAGGACCUCACCCGGGCUCGAACUCAGGUGGACAGCCUCCGAAAGGGGGUUUUCCCCGUUUGGGGACUGCCUGAGAGGAGCUGCAUGGCUGUCGUCAGCUCGUGCCGUGAGGUGUUCGGUUAAGUCCGGCAACGAGCGCAACCCAUGCCGUUAGUUGCCAGCGGCCCCUUGUGGGUGCUGGGCACUCUAGCGGGACUGCCGCCGUAAGGCGGAGGAAGGGGUGGAUGACGUCAAGUCGUCAUGGCCUUUAUGCCCGGGGCGACACAGGCGCUACAAUGCACGGGACAGAGGGUAGCGACCUGGUGACAGGGAGCCAAUCCCUAAACCCGUGCUCAGUACGGAUUGGAGUCUGCAACCCGACUCCAUGAAGCUGGAAUCGCUAGUAAUCGCGGAUCAGCCAUGCCGCGGUGAAUACGUUCUCGGGCCUUGCACACACCGCCCGUCACGCCAUGGGAGUCGGCAACUCCUGAAGUCUCGCGCGUUGGGGUGCGGGACGAAGGAGGGGUCGGCGACUGGGGCGAAGUCGUAACAAGGUAAC